AAGUCGUAACAAGGUUUCCGUAGGUGAACCUGCGGAAGGAUCAUUACAGUGAUGGCUCGGGGGUGACUCGGGGGUGCCCUGCACCGGCGGAGACGCCGUGCUGCGGGUCCCCGACACCCCAUCCAAACCAAACCCCUGUGCACCUUUGGGAAGGGUGGGUGCAAGCCUGCCGUCCCGUCCACAAACUCCGAGUGUAUAGAAUGCCGCGCACGCUUGUGUCGCCUGAAAAGAAUGACAACUUUCAACAACGGAUCUCUUGGCUCUC
This 265-nucleotide unclassified non-coding RNA is filed under the name air metagenome. RNAcentral's name for it is "partial contains small subunit ribosomal RNA, internal transcribed spacer 1, and 5.8S ribosomal RNA". The stretch from base 1 to 46 matches the Rfam family "Eukaryotic small subunit ribosomal RNA", at positions 1786 to 1831 of the family's 1831-position model. The record is from RNAcentral.